UUAUAUGGCCAUACCACCCUGAACGCGCCCGAUCUCGUCUGAUCUUGGAAGCUAAGCAGGGUCGGGCCUGGUUAGUACUUGGAUGAGACUUUUAAUUUUUUAAAAAAGUAAUUCACGUUAUUGUGAAAU
Equus caballus (horse) is the source of this 129-nucleotide non-coding RNA. The record is from Rfam. Lineage: Eukaryota; Metazoa; Chordata; Mammalia; Perissodactyla; Equidae.